UGGAUCACCUCCUAACAGGGAGACAUUGAAAAGAUUGUGUUGUCUGAGCAAAUUAUUCUUAGGCCGCAAUCCUGUCACCUUAGGUCGAUCGGUAUCUCAGAUUUUUGAAUUAAUUUAUAAUUAAUCCUUAAAUUUCAGUUCCUAAACUUGUCUAGGUCACACCCAACAAGGGUUUCUCCUGGGCCAUUAGCUCAGGUGGUUAGAGCGCACCCCUGAUAAGGGUGAGGUCCCUGGUUCAAGUCCAGGAUGGCCCAUUCGUUGUUGGGGGUAUAGCUCAGUUGGUAGAGCGCCUGCUUUGCAAGCAGGAUGUCAGCGGUUCGAGUCCGCUUACCUCCACUGAAAACUACCCUGAUAACUAAACUUCAGGAGAAAAAUUUAAAUGUGACUUAGAAUUGUCUAUUUGAUAAAGAACCUAGCUUCUUAUCAUCUUUUUAUAGUUGAUAACAUGCUGGGCUCACAUGGAAUUAUCCAUGAGAAUUCAGUAGAACCUUGAAAACUGCAUAGAUUGAAAGAAUAAAGCAUCUCAUGGAUGCAUAAUUCUAUUUUUAUUAUUUAUCUAUCAAGAUAAAUAAUAAAUUUCAGAAUACAUGUUUAAUUCUUGAGUAAUAGCCGAGCACAAUUGAUUUUGUGUUUGUAUUUAAGGUCAAGCUACAAAGGGCUCAUGGCGGAUACCUUGGCACACAGAGGCGAUGAAGG
Molecule: transfer RNA, 696 nt
Filed under: uncultured Prochlorococcus sp.
Lineage: Bacteria; Bacillati; Cyanobacteriota; Cyanophyceae; Synechococcales; Prochlorococcaceae
Description: partial contains 16S ribosomal RNA, 16S-23S ribosomal RNA intergenic spacer, and 23S ribosomal RNA
Rfam family: tRNA (bases 264-336)
Source: RNAcentral